CCUACGGGAGGCAGCAGUGGGGAAUAUUGCUCAAUGGAGGAAACUCUGAAGCAGCCACGCCGCGUGGAGGAUGAAGGUUUUCGGAUUGUAAACUCCUUUUGUUAGAGAAGAAAAUGACGGUAUCUAACGAAUAAGCACCGGCUAACUCCGUGCCAGCAGCCGCGGUAAUACGGAGGGUGCAAGCGUUACUCGGAAUCACUGGGCGUAAAGAGCGCGUAGGCGGGAUAGCAAGUCAGAUGUGAAAUCCUAUGGCUUAACCAUAGAACUGCAUUUGAAACUGUUAUUCUAGAGUAUGGGAGAGGUAGGUGGAAUUCUUGGUGUAGGGGUAAAAUCCGUAGAGAUCAAGAGGAAUACUCAUUGCGAAGGCGACCUGCUAGAACAUAACUGACGCUGAUGCGCGAAAGCGUGGGGAGCAAACAGGAUUAGAUACCCUAGUAGUC
This 440-nucleotide ribosomal RNA is filed under the name uncultured bacterium. RNAcentral's name for it is "partial 16S ribosomal RNA". It matches the Rfam family "Bacterial small subunit ribosomal RNA", at positions 338 to 795 of the family's 1533-position model. The record is from RNAcentral.